Molecule: unclassified non-coding RNA, 332 nt
Filed under: Hevea brasiliensis (rubber tree)
Lineage: Eukaryota; Viridiplantae; Streptophyta; Magnoliopsida; Malpighiales; Euphorbiaceae
Source: RNAcentral
UUGACGGUGCGAUAGACCGUCGAAAUCGAGAUCUUGUCGUCGACUGCAACGCAGCGCCGGUAAAGUUCCUCGACGUCGGGAUGAUCCAUGGCCUCAGCGAGCACGCGCGCAAUGACGCGGCGCUGCUCGGUCAUGCGCAUGCCGGCUGCGGCGCAACGCUUUUCGAUAUCCGUGUGCUUGCCUGUGGGCACGGGCUUCAAGGACGACAUCUUGCGAGGUUCCGGUGGAUAGAGCGGUGUUUUGCCACCAGCCGCAGCUUACGACAAGUCUCGCUGCAUCACCACGGCGUUCAAUUGUUCGCCGCUGGCGUCCUUGUAGUACCGUUCGCGGCG